Molecule: RNA transcript, 358 nt
Organism: Octodon degus (degu)
Lineage: Eukaryota; Metazoa; Chordata; Mammalia; Rodentia; Octodontidae
Gene name: mitochondrial import inner membrane translocase subunit Tim8 B pseudogene
Exons: 1
Source: RefSeq, a predicted model, not a curated record
GGCAAUGGCGGAGCUUGGCGAGGCAAACGAAGCGGAGCUGCAGCGCCUGGUGGUGGCCGAACAACAGAAGGCGCAGUUCGCUGCACAGGUGCAUCACUUCAUGGAGCUAUGCUGGGAUAAAUGUGUGGAGAAGCCAGGCAAUCGCCUAGACUCUCGCACGGAAAACUGCCUCUCUAGCUGUGUGGACCGCUUCAUUGACACUACUCUUGCCAUCGCCAGUCGGUUUGCCCAGAUUGUACAGAAAGGAGGACAGUAGACCAAUGCCUGGGACAGUAACAGAAGCAACAAAAGACUACUAUAAAGCAGAUUCAAGGUCCACUGGGGGAAGAAUCGCCAAUCCAUUGUCAGGUUAGCAUCA